RNAcentral lists this ribosomal RNA (199 nucleotides) under uncultured bacterium. Its description in RNAcentral is "partial 16S ribosomal RNA". It matches the Rfam family "Bacterial small subunit ribosomal RNA", at positions 1302 to 1500 of the family's 1533-position model. The record is from RNAcentral.
AGGCUGCAACUCGCCUGCAUGAAGUCGGAAUUGCUAGUAAUCGCAGAUCAGCAUGCUGCGGCGAAUACGUUCCCGGGCCUUGUACACACCGCCCGUCACACCAUGGGAGUCGGUAACACCCAAAGUUGGUAGCCUAACCGCAAGGAGGGCGCCGCCUAAGGUGGGAUUGAUGACUGGGGUGAAGUCGUAACAAGGUAGC